This 403-nucleotide ribosomal RNA is filed under the name uncultured fungus. Its description in RNAcentral is "SSU rRNA". It matches the Rfam family "Eukaryotic small subunit ribosomal RNA", at positions 555 to 961 of the family's 1831-position model. Lineage: Eukaryota; Fungi. The record is from RNAcentral.
GCAAGUCUGGUGCCAGCAGCCGCGGUAAUUCCAGCUCCAAUAGCGUAUAUUAAAGUUGUUGUGGUUAAAAAGCUCGUAGUAGAAGCUCGGGCUCCGGCCGACCGGUCCGCCUCACCGCGUGCACUGGUUCGGCCGGGCCUUCACCUUCUGCGGAACCGCAUCUCCUUCACUGGGGGUGUCGGGGAAACAGGACGUUUACUGUGAAAAAAUUAGAGUGCUCCAGGCAGGCCUAUGCUCGAAUAGAUUAGCAUGGAAUAAUGGAAUAGGACGUGUGGUCUUAUUUCGUUGGUUUCUAGGACCGCCGUAAUGAUUAAUAGGGACAGUCGGGGGCAUCAGUAUUCAAUCGUCAGAGGUGAAAUUCUUGGAUCGAUUGAAGACUAACUACUGCGAAAGCAUUUGCCAA